UAUGUUAAAAGUGUUUUAUUGUAUCUGGAAGUAUUUUUUUAAAAAAUUUAUGCGUAGAAAGGUACACUAUAUGCUAAGACAAACAUUUGACUGACUGAUGUUAGAUACAAACCAUACCUAACUGUUCCGACUUGCGUACAAAUUGGACUGAAAGGCAGAUUUAGGAAUGGAACCCAUUCACAAUCCAGGGACUGCCUGUAUAUGGUAUGGUUUAAUUUACACGACAUGUCCAGAAUAAGCAAAUCCAUAGAGACAGAAAGUAGAUUAGUGGUUGCCAGGGGCUGAGGAAAGGGGACAGUGGGGAAUGACGCUAUUAUGGGUCCAGGUUUCUUUGUGAGGUGAUGAAAAUGAUGUGGAAUUAGAUAAUGGUGAUGGUUGUACAACUCUGUGAAUAUACUAAGAACCACUGAACUGUAUGCUUUAAAAAGGGUGAAUGUUAUAUGUAUGGAUUAUGUCUCAAUUAGGGAAAUCCAUCAGUGUCUGUGUGAUCCUCCUGAAGAAGACACGGAUCUUAGCUUCUUGGCUUAGAGUCUUCAUGAAAGCAAAACUGAGAUAAGGACUUGUCUGCAGAAAGUUUAUCUGGGUGUGUGGUAAAAUGAGUUCCUUUAUGUGGCCUUUCCCCUUGGUUCUUUGGAGAUUUUUCCCCUCAACCCUGAGGAGUUGUUUUGCCCUUUUUUUUUUACCCCAGAGGGUUUGUUACGUUGGUCCAGACUGGUUGACAUUUCCUGGGUAAACUAUAAACAACUUGGUCUGACAGUUUUUGUCUGGUCCUGGGCUGCAGCCUGCCCUGGGAUUGGUACGCACUUUACAGGGAUUGGUAAAUAGACUAUGCAAAUGAAGUGUCUGAGCCUACUACAUAAAUGAAGUGUCUGUGGCCUACCGAGGGGAUUAGUCCGUUUGUGGCCCCCACCCCCACCCCUGGGAGAGGCCAUGCCUUGAAAUUGGCAGGGAGUUGCGUACAUAUGCAGCCAGCCCCACAGAAGUCUCAGAGACAGAAAGAAGCAGGAAUAGAGGCAGCAGGAAGAAGCAGAAAAGGAAGAAAGGAGAGAGAAGGAACAGCAAGAGAGAGAGGAGGCAAGGAACCUCCUAAAAGAGCUAUAACAUGGGGCAACGGCUGUAACGCUGAAGACAGCGAGAGGUCCAGAAGGGUCCCAACAGCAGAGCUGGUGGUGACUGAAGAAAGGGCCAAGAGGAGCCUGUCCUCUGGGGCCCGAGAGGAGCUGAGAGAGCUGUCUUGUACUGAAGAAGGAAGACUUCGCCUACAUGCUUCCUCAUACUGACCCUGAGUUGUGGCCUGUUGAUCCUGAUCCUGAGUUGUACCGUGUUACUUCCUUAAUAAACCACUUAACUGGAGGUAACCCCAGGAGCUGGAGAGAGGACCAGGAGAGUGAGAGGUGAAGAGAAAGCCAGUUAACGAGGUCUCUACUGUGGGCAUUUUAGGCUCCAUCCUGCGGGGGACCUUCUGAGGAGUGUGUGGAAUUGUCCAUCCGAAGAUGGAGCCAUCAGCUCCCAUCCUCCAUUGGGCUCAUCUCCAGCUCCUGACUCAGUGGUCUGAUUGCCCAGGGAAAGGUGCCAAGGAGGAUGGUUUGAUUCUUGCACAGUCUGCUUUCCAAGAACCCACAGCAAGCCCCUUUGCCCUUGACACUCUGGACCUCAGCUCCAGAUGGAACCCUGCCCUGCCCCAAGAAGCUCCUCGCAGAUAUUCUCAGGGUGCAUCAGAAGGACCAGAUAACUGACCUGAGGUUGGGGAGUGUGGAUGGGUCCUGGGAACCCAGUCUCUACUAUCUAUCGCCUCCUCCUCCUCCUCAUGAAAGUUCCUGCCCCAGAGCUCAGCCAGACAUCAUUCUCUUGGAGGACUGGCAGGAAGGUCUGCCCCCUGCCCAUGCCCGUCUGAUGCUGCCCACCCAGGCACAUGCUCAGGCACUUGCCCAGGUGCAUGGCAGUUGUGGGGCCAGGGAUAAAGCUGUCCGGUCCCAAGACUUCCUCACAUGGCCCUUCCUUGGGUCCUGCAAAGUUAGGAACUGGACUUUUCCGGCUGAGACCAGGGUCUUUGAACUCCAGGCUACUGUGCUCAACCUAUAGGGGCUAAGAGUGUUGUCUGGGGCAGCCAUUGCUGCAGCUGCUCACUGUCUCUAUCAAAGAUUCCACCCAGGGAAAGAAUGCGGGAGCGGUUUGGCUCGCCCUGUCCAGACGGCUACUUGGAACACACACACGCGAGCACACACACAUGCAUGCCUUUUGGCACUCAAAUUUCUCAUGAAAUAAUUGCUGGAAGGCUCCUUGGAUUAGGAUUCCUUCCUUACC
Molecule: long non-coding RNA, 2304 nt
Organism: Loxodonta africana (African savanna elephant)
Lineage: Eukaryota; Metazoa; Chordata; Mammalia; Proboscidea; Elephantidae
Exons: 3
Source: RefSeq, a predicted model, not a curated record